RNAcentral lists this ribosomal RNA (253 nucleotides) under uncultured bacterium. RNAcentral's name for it is "partial 16S ribosomal RNA". It matches the Rfam family "Bacterial small subunit ribosomal RNA", at positions 524 to 776 of the family's 1533-position model. The record is from RNAcentral.
UACGAAGGGAGCUAGCGUUGCUCGGAAUCACUGGGCGUAAAGCGCACGUAGGCGGAUUGUUAAGUCAGGGGUGAAAUCCUGGAGCUCAACUCCAGAACUGCCUUUGAUACUGGCGAUCUUGAGUUCGGGAGAGGUGAGUGGAACUGCGAGUGUAGAGGUGAAAUUCGUAGAUAUUCGCAAGAACACCAGUGGCGAAGGCGGCUCACUGGCCCGAUACUGACGCUGAGGCACGAAAGCGUGGGGAGCAAACAGG